CCUACGGGUGGCUGCAGUGUGUCCUCUUGGACAAUGGGGGAAACCCUGAUCCAGCAAUGCCGCGUGUGUGAAGAAGGCCUGCGGGUUGUAAAGCACUUUCGGUUGGGAAGAAAAGUUUGGCGCCAAUACCGCCGAACCUUGACGUUACUGACAGAAGAAGCACCGGCUAACUCUGUGCCAGCAGCCGCGGUAAUACAGAGGGUGCAAGCGUGCGUCGGAAGUGCUGGGCGUAACAUGUGCGUAGGGUGUCAAAUCCCCGGGCUUAACCUGGGAACUGCAUUCGAUACUACAUGGCUAGAGUAUGGUAGAGGGAAGUGGAAUUUCCGGUGUAGCGGUGAAAUGCGUAGAUAUCGGAAGGAACACCAAUGGCGAAGGCAGCUUCCUGGACUAAUACUGACACUGAGGCACGAAAGCGUGGGUAGCAAACAGGAUUAGAUACCCGUGUAGUC
RNAcentral lists this ribosomal RNA (449 nucleotides) under uncultured bacterium. RNAcentral describes it as "partial 16S ribosomal RNA". It matches the Rfam family "Bacterial small subunit ribosomal RNA", at positions 338 to 795 of the family's 1533-position model. The record is from RNAcentral.